Molecule: ribosomal RNA, 253 nt
Filed under: uncultured bacterium
Lineage: Bacteria
Description: partial 16S ribosomal RNA
Rfam family: Bacterial small subunit ribosomal RNA
Source: RNAcentral
UACGUAGGGUGCAAGCGUUGUCCGGAAUUAUUGGGCGUAAAGAGCUCGUAGGCGGUCUGUCACGUCGGCUGUGAAAACCCGAGGCUCAACCUCGGGCCUGCAGUCGAUACGGGCAAACUAGAGUACUGCAGGGGAGACUGGAAUUCCUGGUGUAGCGGUGAAAUGCGCAGAUAUCAGGAGGAACACCGGUGGCGAAGGCGGGUCUCUGGGCAGUAACUGACGCUGAGGAGCGAAAGUGUGGGGAGCGAACAGG